CUANCAUGCAAGUCGAGCGAACAGACGAGGAGCUUGCUCCUNUGACGUUAGCGGCGGACGGGUGAGUAACACGUGGGUAACCUACCUAUAAGACUGGGAUAACUUCGGGAAACCGGAGCUAAUACCGGAUAAUAUNUNGAACCGCAUGGUUCAAUAGUGAAAGANGGNUUUGCUNUCACUUAUAGAUGGANCNGCGCCGNAUUAGCUAGUUGGUAAGGUAACGGCUUACCAAGGCAACGAUNCGUAGCCGACCUGAGAGGGUGAUCGGCCACACUGGAACUGAGACACGGUCCAGACUCCUACGGGAGGCAGCAGUAGGGAAUCUUCCGCAAUGGGCGAAAGCCUGACGGAGCAACGCCGCGUGAGUGAUGAAGGUCUUCGGAUCGUAAAACUCUGUUAUUAGGGAAGAACAAANGUGUAAGUAACUGUGCACGUCUUGACGGUACCUAAUCAGAAAGCCACGGCUAACUACGUGCCAGCAGCCGCGGUAAUACGUAGGUGGCAAGCGUUAUCCGGAAUUAUUGGGCGUAAAGCGCGCGUAGGCGGUUUUUUAAGUCUGAUGUGAAAGCCCACGGCUCAACCGUGGAGGGUCAUUGGAAACUGGAAAACUUGAGUGCAGAAGAGGAAAGUGGAAUUCCAU
This 640-nucleotide ribosomal RNA is filed under the name bacterium Ca.J21A. Its description in RNAcentral is "bacterial SSU rRNA". It matches the Rfam family "Bacterial small subunit ribosomal RNA", at positions 50 to 672 of the family's 1533-position model. The record is from RNAcentral.